GAUGAACGCUGGCGGCGUGCCUAAUACAUGCAAGUCGAGCGAACAGACGAGGAGCUUGCUCCUCUGACGUUAGCGGCGGACGGGUGAGUAACGCGUGGAUAACCUACCUAUAAGACUGGGAUAACUUGGGGAAACCGGCGCUAAUAGCGUAGAAUAUAUUGAACCGCAUGGGUGAAUAGUGAAAGACGGUGUUGCGGUAACUUAUAGAUGGAUACGCGCCGCAUUAGAUAGUUGUGAAGGUAAAGGGCUUCCAAGGGUACGAGGCGUAGACGACGGGCGGGGGUGAUCGGCCACAUUGGAACGGAGACAGCGACCAGGCGCCUAAGGGAGGGCGCAGUAGGGAACCUUCCGCAAUGGGGGAAAGCAUGACGGAGCGACGCCGCGUGAGUUAUGAAGGUCUUCGGAUCGUAAAACUCUGUUAUUAGGGAAGAACAAAUGUGUAAGUAACUAUGCACGUAUUGACGGUACCUAAUCAGAAAGCCACGGCUAACUACGUG
This 497-nucleotide ribosomal RNA is filed under the name uncultured bacterium. Its description in RNAcentral is "partial 16S ribosomal RNA". It matches the Rfam family "Bacterial small subunit ribosomal RNA", at positions 28 to 507 of the family's 1533-position model. The record is from RNAcentral.